UGGAUCCAGACUUUGAUUCUGGCUCAGGAUGAACGCUAGCUACAGGCUUAACACAUGCAAGUCGAGGGGAAACGACAUCGAAAGCUUGCUUUUGAUGGGCGUCGACCGGCGCACGGGUGAGUGACGCGUAUCCAACCUGCCCACCACUUGGGGAUAACCUUGCGAAAGUAAGACUAAUACCCAAUGACGUCUCUAGAAGACAUCUGAAAGAGAUUAAAGAUUUAUCGGUGAUGGAUGGGGAUGCGUCUGAUUAGCUUGUUGGCGGGGUAACGGCCCACCAAGGCGACGAUUAGUAGGGGUUCUGAGAGGAAGGUCCCCCACAUUGGAACUGAGACACGGUCCAAACUCCUACGGGAGGCAGCAGUGAGGAAUAUUGGUCAAUGGACGAGAGUCUGAACCAGCCAAGUAGCGUGCAGGAUGACGGCCCUAUGGGUUGUAAACUGCUUUUAUAAGGGAAUAAAGUGAGUCUCGUGAGACUUUUUGCAUGUACCUUAUGAAUAAGGACCGGCUAAUUCCGUGCCAGCAGCCGCGGUAAUACGGAAGGUCCGGGCGUUAUCCGGAUUUAUUGGGUUUAAAGGGAGCGUAGGCCGGAGAUUAAGCGUGUUGUGAAAUGUAGACGCUCAACGUCU
RNAcentral lists this ribosomal RNA (629 nucleotides) under uncultured Bacteroidota bacterium. RNAcentral's name for it is "bacterial SSU rRNA". It matches the Rfam family "Bacterial small subunit ribosomal RNA", at positions 1 to 617 of the family's 1533-position model. Lineage: Bacteria; Pseudomonadati; Bacteroidota. The record is from RNAcentral.